RNAcentral lists this ribosomal RNA (253 nucleotides) under uncultured bacterium. RNAcentral describes it as "partial 16S ribosomal RNA". It matches the Rfam family "Bacterial small subunit ribosomal RNA", at positions 524 to 776 of the family's 1533-position model. The record is from RNAcentral.
UACGAAGGGGGCUAGCGUUGCUCGGAAUCACUGGGCGUAAAGCGCACGUAGGCGGGUUCUUAAGUCAGGGGUGAAAUCCUGGAGCUCAACUCCAGAACUGCCUUGGAUACUGGUCGUCUCGAGGGAGGUAGGGGUCUGUGGAACUGAUGGUGGAGCGGUGAAAUGCGUUGAUAUCAUCAGGAACGCCGGUGGCGAAAGCGACGGACUGGACCUUCACUGACGCUGAGGCGCGAAAGCUAGGGGAGCAAACGGG